AUAUUAUAAAGCAGGUGCGUCAAGCUCAUUCCAUUGAGGGCCUCGUGUCUGCGGGUUUUUAGUUUUUCCUUUCAAUCAAGACUUAGACAACCAGGUGAGGGGAGUUAUUUACUAAUUAGCGACAAUUAAUCAAGUACAAGAGAGGAGCGAAAACCUGCAAACACUCCGCCCUUCGUGGAAUAAGUUUGACAGUUGGUGUAGAGAAUCUUUGAAUCAUCUAAAUCGCUGUUAACUAUAUUUUCCACAACCAAAAAUAUUGUAUUUUCAGCUGUGUGAAGCUGGUGUACAAAACCAAAAGACACAAAAAUGAAACUUAAGAACGGAAGCAUAGAAAUAGCGCACAUAGAACGGAUGUACCACUUCUUAGACUUGCUUUAAAUGACAAUGACAGAUCUAUAACUUACAUUUAUAUGGGAAUUUUGUUGGGUUGCCAAAAAGUUACAUACUACAGCUUUAAUUCGUUUUUAUUACUUUAAACAUGUAUUUCUGGUCCCACCCCUGUAAACAAUUUUCAAGUACAGAAGCAAGUGCAUACAGAAUUAAGUGCAUUUUCCUCAACCUUCCCUCACUUUGCAGCUUUCCUUACGCUGGGUGUGUCCCCACGUGACUCACAUUUCAGGGAAAGCUGUGAUGUCAGGUGGACUUCAGUUAGGUGUUAGCAAGACUAUCUUCCUUCCGCCUCUCUUCAAUAACCUUCAAACUUUUUUGAAACGAGGAGAGAGUAUGCUGGAGUUAAGUAUUUUGGAUUGAGAAAAGGCCAUGGGCUUUAAAAGUGAUCUCAAAUAGAGUGCCACUGUAUGAGACAUAAUACCCAUAAAAUGUAGCAGUCAAACAGGGAAAUGGUUCCAAUUGUUUUUCCACCAUUAAUUUUUCCCAUAGGGGAUUUUAGAAACACUUAAAAUAAGGGCUGUGUUUUGUGUAGGCGUACCCUAUUGUGAUGUUUUGAUAACCAUGUAAAUCUCUCGAGGACAAGGUGACUUUUAUCAAUAUAUUUGCCUGUAUUCACCCCGUAAAAAUUAAAUGCUAAUUAGCUGCUAAUGUGGCUAUCAUAAAGAACUACAAAUGCCAUGAUGAUUUGGCAAAGGUAAGAAUCUCUGGAUUAACUAUCUAACGUUAGCAAAGGUGUCAGCUAGAGAUGACAUGUAUGAGCUUGCAGGGAUUUGUAGUUUUACAUGUCUAUUUUACGCUAAUUAGCAUUUUCAAAUCUGAGAGUAAAUGGAGCCGAAUAUAUUGACAAGUCACCUUGUCCAAGUGAGGAAUUACAUGGUAGAGUUCGCGCCCCCCUCACGUAUCAGAUGUCCUUGUCAGUCAUCCAACAUGUAUGGGUGUGUUCAUUAUGGCCAAAUAGUGCAAGCUAAAACUCCCAUGCAGUGCUUUUUUAAGGUGGAAUGGGGGUAAUGCUGUGCUAUUUGAAUGUUUUGACAAUUAAAAGACUGACCUUAAAUACAUGGCGAGGGAGAGUUAUCACAAAAUGGCAUUGAACAAGGACUGCAACUUUUUCGGAUUAUUUAAAAUUCUGACAAAUAGCCUAGGUGUUUUCACUAGAAACAAAACGGAAGCAAACAGAGAGGGACCUACCUCAAUAUCUCCAAACUCGUUUCAUUGCAAAAUGUUUUCGCUAUGGUGUGCAUUAGUCUAAUGAAUACACCCUAGGUCUUGACAUCUGAAAAUAAAUAGCCUUGAAGUCUAGGCUAUAAAUUAGUGGCCUAUAUAUGAAUUCUGAAGAUGACUUAUUUGUCAUGUUUGCAUGCCAUUAUGAAAGAUAAGAAGUUUAAAACUCAUGUGACUUGUGUAAAUGCUUCUGUCCUCUGUAGAUCAUGUGUCUCCUAGUAAACUCAGCAAAAAGAGAAACGUCCUCUCACUGUUAACUGUGUUUAUUUUCAGAAAACUUAACAUGUGUAAAUAUUUGUAUGAACAUAACAAGAUUCAACAACUGAGACAUAAACUGAACAAGUUCCACAGACAUGUGACUAACAGAAAUGGAAUAAUGUGUCCCUGAACAAAGGGGGGGUCAAAAUCAAAAGUAACAGUAUCUGGUGUGGCCACCAGCUGCAUUAAGUACUGCAGAGCAUCUCCUCCUCAUGGACUGCACCAGAUUUUAAAUUUCUUGCUGUGAGAUGUUACCCCACUGUUCCACCAAGGCACCUGCAAGUUCCCGGACAUUUCUGUGGGGAAUCGCCCUAGCCCUCACCCUCCGAUCCAACUGGUCCCAGAUGUGCUCAAUGGGAUUGAGAUCCGGGCUCUUCGCUGGCCAUGGCAAAACACUGACAUUCCUGUCUUGCAGGAAAUCACGCACAGAACGAGCAGUAUGGCAGGUGGCAUUGUCAUGCUGGAGGGUCAUGUCAGGAUGAGCCUGCAGGAAGGGUACCACAUGAGGGAGGGGGAUGUCUUGCCUGUAACGCACAGCGUUGAGAUUGCCUGCAAUGACAACAAGCUCAGUCCGAUGAUGCUGUGACACACUGCCCCAGAACAUGACGGACCCUCCAAAUCGAUCCCGCUCCAGAGUACAGGCCUCGGUGUAACGCUCAUUCCUUCGACAAUAAACGCAAAUCCGACCAUCACCCGUGGUGAGAUAAAACCGCGAUUCGUCAGUGAAGAGCACAUUUUGCCAGUCCUGUCUGGUCCAGCGAUGGUGGGUUUGUGCCCAUAGGCGACAUUGUUGCCAAUGAUGUCUGGUGAGGACCUACAAGCCCUCAGUCCAGCCUCUCUCAGCCUAUUGCGGACAGUCUGAGCACUGAUGGAGGGAUUGUGUGUUCCUGGUGUAACUCGGGCAGUUGUUGUUGCCAUCCUGUACCUGUCCCGCAGGUGUGAUGUUCGGCUGUACCGAUCCUGUGCAGGUGUUGUUACACGUGGUCUGCCACUGCGAGGACGAUCAGCUGUCCGUCCUGUCUCCCUGUAGCGCUGUCUUAGGCGUCUCACAGUACAAACAUUGCAAUUUAUUGCCCUGGCCACAUCUGCAGUCCUCAUGCCUCCUUGCAGCAUGCCUAAGGCAUGUUCACGCAGAUGAGCAGAGACCCUGGGCAUCUUUCUUUUGGUGUUUUUCAGAGUCAGUAGAAAGGUCUCUUUAGUGUCCUAAGUUUUCAUAACUGUGACCUCAAUUGCCUACCGUCUGUAAGCUGUUAGUGUCUUAAUGACCGUUACACAGGUGCAUGUUCAUUAAUUCUUUAUGGUUCAUUGAACAAGCAUGGGAAACGGUGUUUAAACCCUUUACAAUGAAGAUCUGUGAAGUUAUUUGGAUUUUUACAAAUUAUCUUUGAGAAGCCGGGUCCUGAAAAAGGGACGUUUCUUUUUUUGCUGAGUUUAUUACUGAGUGCCUUAUUUAUUUAUGGGUGAGUAUAGUGCCAUCUGUACUUCACCUCUCUCUCUCUUUCAAAUACACACGCACACCUCCCAUCUGUUACUCAUCUGUCUUUGAAACCCUCAGGGUCAGUUGUUGAAGAGGUUGAGGUGUAAUACGGCAGAGAAUACAUGAUGCCACAAUGACAUUUCAAUUUUGUUUACCAAACUUCUUCCAACCAAUUUCCCCCUGGGGUCCCAAGAAGCUUGGGUUGGACGGACCUGAGAUGAGCUGUUUUGGAAUAAGCUGAAGGACCCACGCUACAUAAGUAGGACCUACAACUCCUUGACAGUACCAAAUGUGAUGGAAAAAAAUAUUCCCAUCCCCCUCUAUCAUGCUUGAUAGACAUUCCCAGUCUUCAAGUUGAAGGGUCUGCCGUAAUUAUGGGGAGAAGUACGCCCUGCAGGACUUUACUGCCUGGGGCUCUACCUCUCAGCCGGUGGUCCAGUGGAACCGCACAAACCUAGGGACCUUCAAUGGGGAGGGGGGAGUCUGGAGGGUAGAAUGUGGGUGUUAAGGGAUCUCACCCAGGCACACUCGGGCCACUAUGCCCUCCAAGGCACUGACAGGAGGUUGAUAUCUACAACGAUGCUUAAUGUCACAGCUGAGGGAAGAUUCUGCCUACAACUUUCACUUUUAUCUUGUUUGUCAUUUCCCCUCACCCCAAAUAAUUUAACAUUAUUUUUAUUAUAUCACUCGCUAAUGCAAUGCGUGUGAAUGUCUCUCUCAGCACGUAGUACUCUAGGUCUUUCGGUUACUGUGUUCAUUGUCAUCAUUGCUGAGGUGGCUGCAUGCUGCUGUGUGAAGAAGUGUUGCUGCAAGACUGAGACCCCCAAACUAGACGGCUCUGUUCCUAUGCCAGGACAGCCGAUGGUGUAAAUACUACUACAACAAACCAACAUGUGUAUCAAGGUCUAACAGGAGGAUGUUAACUCCCACAAUAUAUUUUGGGGAAUAUUUAACUUUGUGUAUGGUUUUCAGGAUAACUGUGAACCUUCUGCACCAAUUUUCCGUAGCCACCCCAGGAAACCAGCUUUACCUGUAGGUGUAUUCUCUCCUCUUUUAUUUUGCCCUCUGCCUAUUCCUUUAUUUAUUUACUAAUUUCAAAAUCUCUCACACUAUCUCUACCCCCUGAGCCAAACAGUCUCGUUGUGGACAGUGAGCCGAAUCCCUCCAAUGAGACGAGUUUUCUGAAUCCACUGCUGUACAAUCUUGUUGUGGACAGUGAGUCUAAUCCAGCCAAUGGCAAUGAGACUACACAUGUGACUUCCCCUCAAAUCCCCCCUAUGAUAAUUCUUUGAUAUUUUCGACCCGGUGAUUUGUAUGUGUUUGUCUAAUUGGUACAAUGUGAGGAAGUCCUUAUUACUGUUCGCCUGGCAACCCAGAAUCGUUACUCUGGCCAAAAUCUACACCACUCCCACAGAUGUUAGUUUCUUCUCCACAAUAAAUCCGGAUCGGAGUACUUCCCCAACCCUUCACUGGAUGUGAACACAUUCGUGGCCGUCUGUUUGGGCCAGAGUCUGAACACACGUCGGUAAAGUGGUGGUUUGAAAAUUCGUCAUUGACUUUGAUACUCUGAUUGUUAGCGACGAUCCAAUCGCUGAUGACUUUAUUUUGUACAAUGCCCCUUGUGCCCCUCUUCACCACAAACAACUUCAAUGAUGGCAGUCUCAGACAGUAUGUAGCAAACGAUAGUGCAGCAGAAGAAGUGUGUCAGGCUAUAUUACCAAAGACUUUUUUAUAACUAACCCAAGAUAGAUCAGAACCUGUCGUUUGCAAUGGGAGCAAAUUAAUCAUAGUGGGCAGAACAAGCAUGGAGGUGGGCAGAGCCAAGCACAAGCUAGUGAGAUCCUAUUUGCGCGUUCCAGCAUUUUGCAUAUUUCCGUUAGGGAACUCCUACCCUUGCACUCUAAAACAAUGCAAAUCAAAAAAAUGCAGUCCACUCGGUGUGUUACAUAUUCUCGUUUUGGAAACAACUGUAUGGAGAUCAAAUGUUUCAUUGAUGAGGAAAUUAGCGGCCAAAAUGUCGGCCAAAAUCCAUCUCGCUCCAUCUUCUCCCACUGCCGGCCACUGUGUUUUCUCUCAUCACCAUAUUUGGUAGUGAGUGGAAACGCCAACCGGACGCUUCACAUUUAUACAUCUGGUGAAACAUCAGGCUCAUUGUUCUAUCCAUGAUAUUACUGUAUAGUUGUCAAUGUAUUGGUUCACUCUGAAAUGUUUUGGAGCACCAGCUUGUGCUAGCUGAUGUUUUGAAUAUGAAUACUGAUUUCUCAACUGAUGAACUUUGUAAUAUAAUAAACUACAAUAUAAAAAAACAUUGAUCAACAUCUCUCAUUGACUAUCACUGAAUGAUUGUAGUUCCCGCAGAACCUGUUUUGAAAUGUUCCAGGAGUUAUUUACAUUUACAUUUA
This 5748-nucleotide long non-coding RNA is filed under the name Salmo salar (Atlantic salmon). RNAcentral describes it as "lncRNA (ENSSSAG00000109679.1)". Lineage: Eukaryota; Metazoa; Chordata; Actinopteri; Salmoniformes; Salmonidae. The record is from RNAcentral.